GGAUCAUGUUCGUGGCGGGUGCACGCAUCUGUUCCUGACGGAUGACAACACGGAUGCGACGCGGGUUGCGAUUCCGAUGAUCCUC
This 85-nucleotide transfer RNA is filed under the name Gluconobacter albidus. RNAcentral describes it as "tRNA-Arg". The record is from RNAcentral. Lineage: Bacteria; Pseudomonadati; Pseudomonadota; Alphaproteobacteria; Acetobacterales; Acetobacteraceae.